UUUGUUCGCCGGCGUGAGCGAAUAUGGACGUCCAAGACGACUCGUACUGGCGAUGUUAAAUGCGAAGUAGAUAAACUUCUUUAUUUUACAACACAGUCCGUUACAGUAAAAAAAUGUGUGUUCCUGAGAAAUCGUAGAAUCGAACUUCAAACAACUGGAGUAUUUGAUACAGACCACACGGAGCGGAUGACUACAUUACACAGAGGCAUAUUCACCAGAACUGAAACAUUGCUCUUCCUGUCCCGGGACCGCUCCUGCGCUGUUAUUAAGGUCGACUCGCUUACAAAUUGGAACCAGUCCUACUACGAUAUGCGCGUGACUGAUACUUUUGUGCGUUCAGCACCCCUUCCAGCCUGUCGAGUUUUUUUUAAUCGCAUCAUAAGACCUCGUUCCUCGCACCUCGUUUUCUUUCCCCGAUGUCUUCGGCUAUUGCGAGAACGCAAUGAAGAUGAAGAGUAGAAUUUCAUCACAUGAGUGUUUCAUUUUUCCUGACUUUAAACUUGAUGACUUUAUGUUCUGUUACCGAUGAAUUCCAAUAAAGUUUACGAAGUUUUGCUCU
This is a long non-coding RNA of Rhipicephalus microplus (southern cattle tick), 559 nucleotides long. The record is from RefSeq and is a predicted model, not a curated record. NCBI's taxonomy places the organism in Eukaryota, Metazoa, Arthropoda, Arachnida, Ixodida, Ixodidae.